Corvus hawaiiensis (hawaiian crow) is the source of this 919-nucleotide long non-coding RNA. RefSeq lists it as uncharacterized. The record is from RefSeq and is a predicted model, not a curated record. The transcript has 2 exons. Lineage: Eukaryota; Metazoa; Chordata; Aves; Passeriformes; Corvidae.
GUCAGUGAAUCUAGGGCAAAAUUCAUUCCAUCCUAAAGCAGAUGCAUAAAUGAGAUUAGUUGAAUUAUACCAUAUGGGCAUCUCUCCCUCCCCAUUGUUCCUAAAUGGAGCUAAAGAUGACAAGCUCAGCUGAAGACCUCUUGUCUCUGAUGGUCUGCACUUGGAUCAUGUAACUUGACCUGUCCUGCUCCAGAGAGACUCUUGCAGCUCUGAAAAUUGUCCUUUUCUCCUCCCAAGAGUGGGAUGAAAAAGACGGGGUGGGCACCACGCAAUGAGAUGACACACGGGAUCUGGGGAACACAGCAUUUCAGCCAACCAGGAUCUUUUGGGAGCUGCUGCAGAAGCCAGAACCACAUGGAAACGUGUCCUGGGAGCAAGAACCGAGAGCCUGCAUGUGCCUCAGAGGCAGCAGGGGCAGCUUGGCCAGGUGUGCCUCGCUGAAAUGAAGCACAAAGCUGUCCUGCUGGAGCGGGUGCCCAAGAGAUGUCACCUGCAAUCAGUGGAAGGAAAUGGGACAGCACCUUGGCACAUCCCUCAGCCUGUACUCCAAGUUGUCUUGAUCUCCACCUGUGGUCACCCUUUGGGUCAUUCUGCCACCAAUUGCAUGGCAUUUCUGCCCAGUACCAGCCUGUGUGUUCUACCAACCUGCUACCCAGGGGACUCCAGGGGAUCCCAGCACACCUUUUACUACUGUGUUGACAGUAACAAGGUACAUCACUUGAAUUUUGGCCAUGGAGUAGAGAUUGUUUGAAACAAUGAAGGAAGGCUUUCAUCAGUUCUCGGAACAACGAUGAACAGAAUUAUGCAUUUGUUUAACAAUCAGUCGUGCAUGAGAUGUAACGAUUUCCACUUCCUGUUUCUUGUCUAUCUUCCUGUUUUUAAAAAGUAUUCAAUAAAAAGAAAAUGUUGCUCAAAGGAA